Long non-coding RNA from Polypterus senegalus (gray bichir), 553 nucleotides. RefSeq lists it as uncharacterized. Lineage: Eukaryota; Metazoa; Chordata; Cladistia; Polypteriformes; Polypteridae. The transcript has 3 exons. The record is from RefSeq and is a predicted model, not a curated record.
CGACGCUGCCCGAUUUGAACCGCGCAUGCCUAAUGCUUUACCACACAUUCGUCAUUUUUUGUGUUGCCGUUUAUCUCUGUCUAUAAGUGGACUUCUUACUGGAAAAGACGGAAACUUUUGAAUUUUGUAACGUCUUGAAAGAAUAUGUGUCACCUGAAAAAUUUAACUCCAGUCGAAUGAAGAGGGAGCGAAAUGAAAUGCGACCUGUGUCUGUGAACUUUAUAAUGGAUACGUGCAGCUUUUUUUACAGUGAAGCAGAAGAGUCUGGUCAUGUUAUGAGGCAGCAGUUAAAGAAGAAGGAUGGAGAGAUGUGUGCCAUGUUGAAGUAGCAGCCUCCUGCCCGGCACUUCUAGAAUCCUUCAUCUCAAUCCCUGCUCUGAUCUGCUAUGCCUUUGCCAAGUGAUCAGGAGUUUAUUGCAGCGGUGCCACCUGCAUCUCCACCAUCUGGUACAUAAACUCUGACUGCCUGUGAUGCCAGAAAGAAGAAAAGUUCACAAGACAUCCUGAAAUGGAACAAUUAUGUAUGCUGGGAUGUGUAGAGGGGGGCUUUGGC